UGGGCCCUGGUGGAGGGUUCACUUUGGA
RNAcentral lists this non-coding RNA (28 nucleotides) under Homo sapiens (human). Lineage: Eukaryota; Metazoa; Chordata; Mammalia; Primates; Hominidae. The record is from RNAcentral.